AGAACAGAUUAUACACAAUUUGCUAAAAACCAGCCAGGAGAUUUUUCAAGCACCGUUUCCAGGCAUUAGUUUUCAUCAUCCAAAGGUAAAAAGCUCAUUUAUGAGGAAAGAAAAAAUAAAAAUUAUCAUGUUACGUGUGAGCAGGCCAUUUGUGGAGCUGGGCUAAGCUGGGAGAAGUGCCCCUUUCACCCUUGGCAGUGGGUUGAAGCCUCUGUUUUGGCUGUGAGCGAGAGGAGCGGGCCGGUGUCUCCUUGGUCCCGAAGAAGUGGGAUUUCAUAUGUCAAAGAGCCACACUGAGAUGAAGGCAAUUGGAAGUAACUGCUCAGAAGAAGAUGCCCAAGAGUAAGUUGCCAUGGAGAUGGAAAGGCUAAACACCACUGUACUCCUGACCUCGAAAGAGGCUGAUUUCUCCACAUGACAGCUGAGGUCGUGGGGGCAUGGUGGGAAGCUCAUCCUGCCGGCUCCAGCUCUGCCUCUAGCCUAUGGAUAAGUAAAGAAUUACUGCUUUACUACUUUAGGUAGUCCAUUAACCUUCACAAGCCUGAACUUUCAUUCAAAUAAUUGCAAAAUAAGUAUAGGUGGUGAAACCUGAACAGAAUCACUGCUAUUUGUAUGCCCUUUGGAAAGUUUAGGGACCCAACCCUUAGUGUGGAUCCACUGGUAUUUCAAACAGUGAGGUAUCUUUCUUACCUUCUUGCUGUAAUUGAAAAAAGUUAAAGCCCAGAAUUACCAGCAAAAUCUGAAAACCAUUCACUGACUGGCCACCAAAUGAAUGUAAACAAAAUGGUCCUUCAUCAGCGGUGGGGCUUUGUAUUCAGUGGGGAGAUUACCUUCUGUUUGUAACUUAUUGCCUUAUGGUGAGUUCUUUUAGCUACAAAUCCAUUCCACAGGGUCUAUUAGAAUAACCCACCAUGCAUCAUGACAGACCUCACCCGGGAACAGCCGUAAAGACAGAAGGGCAGCAGGAUCCUGCUACACACCCCAGUAACCCACAGCCUCCCUCUGUGCACACAAUUCCCACGGAUGCAGUAAAACCUGAUUUAAGUGCCAGCAGAGAGACUGCCUGAAGGGGAGCUUGGCACCAUGUUUCUUGGCCCCACCAAAUCUGGAUUAUGAUGGAUACCAUAAAUACAUAAAUGAAAUGUUUCCAUCUGAAAGCCCUGUACUACAUGGACUGCACCCCAAUGCUGAGAUGGGAUUCUUGACAUCAGAUAAUCUCUUCAAAACUCCUUUGGAAAACAACCCAUGGGAGAGGGAUCCAGCCAAUCUGCAGUUAAAGAGGGGGAGCUGAUCUUUUCUGCUCACAUGGAAGUGCUGCAAUACACACUCUUCUGUGAUGUUGUGCCAGACACAUGGACUAAACCAGCAUAUCCAUCCACACACAGCUUUAUCCACUGGUAAGUGCCCCACAGUGACAGGGUUUAGCUACUGUGCAGAGCUAUUCCAAUGAUUUAAGUCCACCAGCCUGGUUCCAUUCAUGUUUCUUCCAAAUUUUGUCCUAAUGAAAGUCAGUUUUCCUUUGAAGCAGGUUUUGUAGCAAAACCAAGCACUUUGUUAAAGCGAAGGCUCUGUCACCUCCUUUUGUUCCAAGUACUGGACGUGUUCAGCAUCUUGUGGGAUUCCUUUCCCUUAGCCUGCCACCAGCAGUGGUUAGACAUGGAUGAAACAGGCAUUGUUUUUGGAAAUUCUUCUGAUACCUCAUGGCAAUGUAUGCUGCAUUAUGCCAUUAUUCAGAGCCUCUGUCAGAAUCUCUUAUGUUCCUGAUUUGCACUUUGCUCUGGCUUAUUGAAAGUUUAAAAAUGAAGUUUAAAUACCAAUGAAGACGAUAUCAGACAAUUUGUAUUUAAGAAGCCAUCUAGCAGUUAGGAAAUUCUGGCAAUUUCUCAUGGUGAUGUUCAGGUUUCUCCCCUAGACAGCAGAUUCAACAGCACUGAGCAUACUCACAUUCUCUGCUGCCUGCAACUCAUCCCAUGCUGAUCACCUUCUGCAACUGAUUUCAGACAUACUUACAUGAGGGAAACAACAAAUUCCACUGAAACAAUUGCCUUAUACUUACAUAAACUUAUACUUUCUGGUGACUUCAACAAUGUACUUUCUCUGUAGACAAAAGGACUCUUUACAUUUGAAAUCUGUAGUUUAUUUUGUCUACCAAAUUAGCUCAUAUGCAGUUAAGGCAGGAGCUAUUGAUGCUUCUCUUUUAGGGUUACUGAUUUUCUCAUGAGGUACCAAGAACUUGACAUCUGGACACAGGACCUUGUGCUGCCAGCAGUGGUGAGGCUUUCUGGCUUGCUCCAUCCUCACUGCUUUCUGACAGAUCAGCAGUGAUGGGUGUAGGGCACCAAGCAUCUGGUUUCAGUGCCAGACAUCUUUCUUUGACUUACUGAUGGUUAGCUAUGUUUGUGAUGCUGUUUGGAGAGUUAAUCACAGAUUAAAUAAAAAGAUAAAAAUCACCUUAACACUAGAAUAAUCCUUUCCUGAAAACAGGGGGAACAAUCCAAACUUUCCUUCAGGCUACUCAGAAGUGUGAAGACAAAACAGCUAAGGAAAUAAAAGCUUGAAUUUUAUAGUUUAAAAAAGGUUUAAGAGUGCAAGUUUUCCCACCAUUGUUAUUUAACUAAUUCAGUGCAUGUAUCAUAGUAUCAUUCUGUUUUUGUCUAUAAAAGAGCUAUGAGGCUGAAGAGAAAAAUAAAUCAACUCUCCCAGUCCUCUUUGUGUAGUUGUUGCCACAGCAGGGGAUGGAAAACUUUCAGCAGUGUAGUGAAUAAGCAGUACAUCUCAUUUCCUGUCACAAUCACAACAUAUUAGCUGAGUUGGUGCUAGUAACACCAAGGUUUGUGGGUUCAAUCUCCAUGUGGAUCAUUCAUUUAGGAGUUGGACUUGAUGAUUCUUGUUGGUCCCUUCCCACUCAGAAUAUUCUGUGAAUCUGUGAAUGUAUGUUUGCAUUUAUUCUGAACAUCAUAGGAGUGCUUGGUAACAGUCUCUCAGUAUAGCAGUAACAGUGUAGCUCAAAUUCUGCGUGGUCACCAAUGGCAUUGAACUAAAUGCUUCACUUGGCUAGGGGAAGGAUGGCCAGGAGCUCCUCACAGGACACUGGCAGGGAUUCUCUGAAGAAGGGUAGACCCUACACAACCUCAGGCUUGGGCAGGAUGGCCCAAGAGGCUGACAGUUCUAACAUUAAACUUACUGACUGCAUAUUGAAUUAUUGAAAUCACUUUUUUAUUUAAAGCUGUAAUGCAGUGCAGGAAAUACUGGCUUUUGGAUAAAGUGUGCUCAACUGCAAAUGUUACCAAAAACACCAAAGGGCCUGUAUCUGUGUGCCUUCCAUGCAAGGUAAGAAAUAAACUUAAAUUACUUGAUCUCCGAGUUCAGGGACUCUAUUAGGCAGUUAAAUUGCAUCAAGAGUUGCACUAAAGCAUUGCGACCCUAUCUAAGAACAGAACCAAGAAGUUUAGGCAUGGUGUUAGAUUGCUGGCAUUUGUCACUGUGACUUUAAAUUUCAUACCAGCUUGGUGUUCUAAUCAUUAAAUAUACUUCCUGAAUUUAAAUAACUGUUAAUAUGUCUGAACAAGGUCUGCAUUGUAAAGCAGCAGCUCUAAUCCAGCUGAGGUUCAGAAGUUUAAAAGACUAUUCCAGAAACCGUAAAUUUCACAUGAACGAACUUCUAGAAUUUUUUGCAGCUCUCAGAGGUGAAGAAUAGGGUUAGUAGUUACCACAUGCUGGCAACCUGGAUCAAGUAAUCUACACAACUGCAAUUUGAAAAAAAAUACAACCUAGCCUCCACAAAAAAAAAAACACCAACCAACCUACCAACAAAACCC
Long non-coding RNA from Parus major (Great Tit), 3818 nucleotides. RefSeq lists it as uncharacterized. The transcript is spliced from 3 exons. NCBI's taxonomy places the organism in Eukaryota, Metazoa, Chordata, Aves, Passeriformes, Paridae. The record is from RefSeq and is a predicted model, not a curated record.